AACAGCAAAAUGCUCUAUAGUAUGAUGCACAAAAUUUUGGGAGAUGAAAUACACGAACAAAAAAUCAGAGAGUCGGUUUGCUUGAAACUCACUUGGGGUGGGGGUCGGGGGUGCAACACCCCUAAUAAUUUCUCAUGAGGAAUUUCAGGUAGAUUUCCAGUGCACUUUUAGGUAAAUUUAAGUAGAUUUUCAGAAGAUUUUCAGUGGAAUUCAGGUAAUUCUCAAGACAUGAGAAAGUGAAUUUGAAAACAACUGUAUUUUCGGAAAAAUUAUUAUAUGUCCUGAAUUUUGUACAUCUGGAAACAUUUUGGUACCCCCCCAACCCCUCUAUCUAACCUCACACACACCCUGAGACGAAGUGCUAGCAACGGCACUGAGUAUACAUCUUUUGAAAACAGGCGAGGGGUUAUUGCAUGCAUGUAUUUCUAGUUUACUCAUAAUUUUUCGCGCAUUUUGCAGGGAUGCAUAUUAUAGCGGACCACAGGACCAUUGGUCGCAGAAAAUGUUUGAGGUUGGCAGAAAAAAAUGGAGGGUAAAACUUAAAAGUCUCAAAAGAACAAAGUAAAGAGAAAGAAAGGAAAAACAGAAAGGAAGAAAAUCAGAAAGUGACAUAAUUGAAUAAUAAGCUGUAGGUUGUGAACUAGUGAUAUUUGCAACAUACAGUUUCCAAUAAUAUAUGAAUACAACUACAAUAUGUGUAUUAAAAAAUCUGCGAGUGUGGUGAUUUCUUACAAUGUAGUAAAAAAUCAAAUCAGUCAAUAUUUUGUGACGUUAUAAUAUUUUGUAAAAGGGUAUAGUAUAUUUAUAGCAUGUUACUAUAUUUAGAGCGUAAUCGUGUUGUCUUCGUACAGCUGGCUCGCAUUUACCAGCAGUCCCAAGCAGUUACCCAUGCGCACAACAACAAAAACUUGUCAAACUUUUGUUUUACUGGUUUUUCAUUUAAUGUAUUCAUCUGUGAAUCUGGACGGCGGCUACAUGAAACGACUGUUCAUUCGCUUGCAGUGGUGUCUCCUCAACUCAGCUAGAAACUACUGCUAGCAGGAUAAAAUAUGUCUAUUUUGGUUUCAAAUCUAAUGAAAUGGUGCAUAGAAUACACUGAAUUUUAAAUAGUG
Paramuricea clavata is the source of this 1112-nucleotide non-coding RNA. Lineage: Eukaryota; Metazoa; Cnidaria; Anthozoa; Malacalcyonacea; Plexauridae. The record is from the annotation of a GenBank genome assembly.